RNAcentral lists this ribosomal RNA (253 nucleotides) under uncultured bacterium. RNAcentral describes it as "partial 16S ribosomal RNA". It matches the Rfam family "Bacterial small subunit ribosomal RNA", at positions 524 to 776 of the family's 1533-position model. The record is from RNAcentral.
UACGGGGGGAGCAAACGUUGUUCGGAAUCACUGGGCGUAAAGGGCGCGUAGGCGGCCAGAUAAGUGGGGUGUUAAAUCUCCCGGCUCAACCGGGAACCUGCACCUCAUACUGCCUGGCUUGAGUACAGCAGAGGAGACUGGAAUUCCCGGUGUAGCGGUGAAAUGCGCAGAUAUCGGGAGGAACACCGGUGGCGAAGGCGGUUCUCUGGGCCUUACCUGACGCUGAGGAGCGAAAGCGUGGGGAGCGAACAGG